This 900-nucleotide ribosomal RNA is filed under the name uncultured bacterium. Its description in RNAcentral is "bacterial SSU rRNA". It matches the Rfam family "Bacterial small subunit ribosomal RNA", at positions 33 to 946 of the family's 1533-position model. The record is from RNAcentral.
ACGGGGGGGGGGGGGCUUACCAUGCAAGUCGAGCGAAAUAAUUGAGAGCUUGCUUUUGAUUAUUUUAGCGGCCCCUUUAAAGAGUAACGUGUGGGCAACCUACCUUUUACUGUGCCCUAAACAUUGGAAACGACGACUAAUACCGCAUACGAUUUUCUGAAGGCAUCUUCGGAAAAAGAAAGGAGAUAUUCCGUAAAAGAUGGGCCCGCAUCUGAUUACCUAGUUGGUGAGAUAAUAGCCCACCAAGGCAACGAUCAGUAGCCGACCUGAGAGGGUGACCGGCCACAUUGGGACUGAGACUCGGCCCAAACUCCUACGGGAGGCAGCAGUGGGGAAUAUUGCGCAAUGGGCGAAAGCCUGAUGCAGCAUCGCCGCGUGAAGGAAGACGGUUUUCGGAUUGUAAACUUCUAUCAAUAGGGAAGAAAGAGAUGACGGUACCUAAAUAAGAAGCCCCGGCUAACUACGUGCCAGCAGCCGCGGUAAUACGUAGGGGGCAAGCGUUAUCCGGAAUUACUGGGUGUAAAGGGAGAGUAGGCGGCAAGGUAAGCGAUAUGUGAAAGCCUUAAGCUUAACUUAACGAUAGCAUAACGAACUAUCUAGCUAGAGUACAGGAGAGGAAAGCGAAAUUCCUAGUGUAGCGGUGAAAUGCGUAAAUAUUAUGAAGAACACCAGUGGCGAAGGCGGCUUUUCGGGACUGAAACUGACCCUGAGGCUCGAGAGCGUGUGGAGCGAACAGGAUUAAAUACCCUGGUAGUCCACGCUGUACACGAUGAGUGCUAUGGGUCCGGGAGGAGUUCCCGGUGCCCGAACCAACGCAUUAUUCUUCCCCCUUGUGAGUUAGACGGCAGGUUCACACUUAUGGAAAUGACCGGGGCCCCCCCGCCGGGCGGACCUGUGUUU